RNAcentral lists this ribosomal RNA (281 nucleotides) under uncultured Glomus. Its description in RNAcentral is "partial small subunit ribosomal RNA". It matches the Rfam family "Eukaryotic small subunit ribosomal RNA", at positions 569 to 864 of the family's 1831-position model. Lineage: Eukaryota; Fungi; Glomeromycota; Glomeromycetes; Glomerales; Glomeraceae. The record is from RNAcentral.
AGCAGCCGCGGUAAUUCCAGCUCCAAUAGCGUAUAUUAAAGUUGUUGCAGUUAAAAAGCUCGUAGUUGGACCUUGGACCUGGACAGGCGGUCCGCCUCACGGCGAGUACUGUCUUGCUGGGUCUUUCCUCUUGGUGAUCUGUUGUUUCGGCAGCAGGGAACCAGGACCUUUACUUUGAAAAAAUUAGAGUGUUCAAAGCAGGCUCGACGCCGGAAUAUAUUAGCAUGGAAUAAUAAAAUAGGACGUGCGGUUCUAUUUUGUUGGUUUUUGGAAUCGCCGUA